GAUAAACGCUAGCGGCAGGCUUAACACAUGCAAGUCGAGGGGCAGCAUAGAUUGUAGCAAUACAAUUGGUGGCGACCGGCGCACGGGUGCGUAACGCGUAUGCAACCUACCCGUCACAGGGGGAUAAUCCGGAGAAAUCUGGUCUAAUACCCCAUAACAUAUGGAUCGGCAUCGGUUCGUGUUGAAAUUUUCGGAGGUGACGGAUGGGCAUGCGUAGCAUUAGCUUGUUGGUGAGGUAACGGCUCACCAAGGCGACGAUGCUUAGGGGGACUGAGAGGUUUGCCCCCCACACUGGUACUGAGGCACGGACCAGACUCCAGCGGGAGGCAGCAGUGAGGAAUAUUGGUCAAUGGGCGCAAGCCUGAACCAGCCAUGCCGCGUGCAGGAUGACGGCUCUAUGAGUUGUAAACUGCUUUUGUACGAGGGUAAAGUGGGUUACGUGUAACCUUUUGGAAGUAUCGUACGAAUAAGGAUCGGCUAACUCCGUGCCAGCCGCCGCAGUAA
This 504-nucleotide ribosomal RNA is filed under the name uncultured bacterium. RNAcentral's name for it is "partial 16S ribosomal RNA". It matches the Rfam family "Bacterial small subunit ribosomal RNA", at positions 28 to 523 of the family's 1533-position model. The record is from RNAcentral.